This 492-nucleotide ribosomal RNA is filed under the name uncultured bacterium. Its description in RNAcentral is "partial 16S ribosomal RNA". It matches the Rfam family "Bacterial small subunit ribosomal RNA", at positions 29 to 507 of the family's 1533-position model. The record is from RNAcentral.
AGUGAACGCUGGCGGUAGGCCUAACACAUGCAAGUCGAACGGCAGCACCGUAAGAGCUUGCUCUUACGGGUGGCGAGUGGCGGACGGGUGAGGAAUACAUCGGAAUCUACUUUUUCGUGGGGGAUAACGUAGGGAAACUUACGCUAAUACAGCAUACGACCUACGGGUGAAAGCAGGGGAUCUUCGGACUUUGCGCGAUUGAAUGAGCCGAUGUCGGAUUAGCUAGUUGGCGGGGUAAAGGCCCACGUAGGCGACGAUCCGUAGCUGGUCUGAGAGGAUGAUCAGCUACACUGGAACUGAGACACGGUCCAGACUCCUACAGUAAGAAGCAGUGGAGAAUAUUGGACGAUGGGCGCAAGCCUGAUCCAGCCAUACCGCGUGGGUGAAGAAGGCCUUCGGGUUGUUGAGCCCUUUUGUUGUGAAAGAAGAGCAGCAGGUUAAUACCCCGCUGUUAUGACGGUACCCAAAGAAUAAGCACCGGCUAACUUCGUG